CCUACGGGAGACUGCAGUAGGGAAUAUUGCUCAAUGGGGGUAACCCUGAAGCAGCAACGCCGCGUGGAGGAUGAAGGUUUUCUGAUUGUAAACUCCUUUUUUUAGAGAAGAUAAUGACGGUAUCUAACGAAUAAGCACCGUCUAACUCCGUGCCAGCAGCCGCGGUAAUACGGAGGGUGCAAGCGUUACUCGGAAUCACUGGGCGUAAAGGGCGCGUAGGCGGGUUAGGAAGUCAGAUGUGAAAUUCUAUGGCUUAACCAUAGAAUUGCAGUUGAAACUGUUAUUCUAGAGUAUGGGAGAGGUAGGUGGAAUGCUUGGUGUAGGGGUAAAAUGCGUAGAGAUCAAGAGGAAUACUGAUUGCGAAGGCGACCUGCUAGAACAUAACUGACGCUGAUGCGCGAAAGCGUGGGGAGCAAACAGGAUUAGAUACCCGGGUAGUC
Molecule: ribosomal RNA, 440 nt
Filed under: uncultured bacterium
Lineage: Bacteria
Description: partial 16S ribosomal RNA
Rfam family: Bacterial small subunit ribosomal RNA
Source: RNAcentral